UCCUGUAAUGUGCACAUCACUUCACACGUUCCCUUUUACAGGAAAUGACACCGAAAGUAAACAUCCAGGAACAACGGCAGCACCCGAAAACCUGAAAAGAUGCCUGCCUUACAGAUAAGUGGAAUGAAGAUAGCCAUAGCUGGGGUUGUGAUCGAAGCUGGAAAUCUCUUUGCUUCAGUUGACGUCCUACACGCAGUUACAUUAAUGCUAGUCGUUGUUGGAGUUCUAAUGAUUGUAUAUGAGAAAUAUAAAACUCCGUCACCACCUCACCCAGCUAAUGGGUACAAGAAGGAGAGGUGACCAGAGAAGCAGUCAUCGGACAACACAGACAACACAGUCAACAGAGAAUAUAUAUAUUCAGAUUAAUCAAUUCAUCAUCAAUUAUGAACUCCAUCGAUUAGGAAAAUGACAAUCACUUUGUUUUACAGAAAUGCACAUGAUCUUUUUAUUUGUUUUCCAGCUGAAUCAGAAUGUAAUUUAAUUCACGGUUCAUUUUUUACAUUUAGAAAAUUGAUGAUGUUUCCAAAAUUGUGUUAAAUAAUAGUAAUCUCAAUAUUGACCAAAAUAAUCUUGAUUAUGGUUUUUGCCUUUAUAGAGGGGGAACAUUACUGUCUCAUUCAUAAAGUCAUAAUAAAGACACUCACCUUUCAA
Long non-coding RNA from Sardina pilchardus (European sardine), 651 nucleotides. RefSeq lists it as uncharacterized. NCBI's taxonomy places the organism in Eukaryota, Metazoa, Chordata, Actinopteri, Clupeiformes, Clupeidae. The record is from RefSeq and is a predicted model, not a curated record. The transcript is spliced from 3 exons.